Molecule: non-coding RNA, 77 nt
Organism: Trichococcus sp.
Lineage: Bacteria; Bacillati; Bacillota; Bacilli; Lactobacillales; Carnobacteriaceae
Source: Rfam
AACCGCCGUGUACGGAACCGUACGCACGGUGGUGUGAGAGGACGGUAGAUGAACUAAUCAUCUACCUCCUACUCGAU